This 440-nucleotide ribosomal RNA is filed under the name uncultured bacterium. RNAcentral's name for it is "partial 16S ribosomal RNA". It matches the Rfam family "Bacterial small subunit ribosomal RNA", at positions 338 to 795 of the family's 1533-position model. The record is from RNAcentral.
CCUACGGGAGGCAGCAGUGGGGAAUAUUGCACAAUGGGGGAAACCCUGAUGCAGCGACGCCGCGUGAGUGAAGAAGUAAUUCGUUAUGUAAAGCUCUAUCAGCAGGGAAGAAAAUGACGGUACCUGAGUAAGAAGCCCCGGCUAACUACGUGCCAGCAGCCGCGGUAAUACGCCGGGGGCAAGCGUUAUCCGGAUUUACUGGGUGUAAAGGGGGCGUAGACGGGGCGCCAAGUCCGGAGUGAAAUGCGGCAGCUUAACUGGGGAACUGCUUUUGAAACUGGCGAACUAGAGUGCGGGAGGGGUAAGCGGAAUUCCUGGUGUAGCGGUGAAAUGCGUAGAUAUUAGGAAGAACACCGAUUGCGAAGGCGGCUUACUGGACCGUAACUGACGUUGAGGCUCGAAAGCGUGGGGAGCAAACAGGAUUAGAUACCCGAGUAGUC